UACUAAGCUGAUGAUGGCCGGACGUCUCUGGGCCGAAAUAUCGUGGCAGAAUGUCGACGGGAUCCGGCUGCAUACCCGGAAAUUAUUAGAAGAAGAAAUAUGCUGGGAAAAUUUCAGAAGUCACACUUUUCUUGAUCUUUGUCAUCCAACAAGAAAAAAUAAGGAAUGCACACCAAAUGCUGGUCUAUAUUUAUAUGCCAACUAGCACUACAGCAAAUAAUGUAACACCCGGAGGCCAUUUGCAACAUGCUUCUGUGUAAGAGUAUAAUUGGAUAUUGACUGCUUGGCAGACAGUAUCAGAACAACUUGUCAUUAAAGUUUUUAAAACAUGAAUUUUACAAUCAUCUUGACCAGACUGAAGACGUUCUCCUUUGUAAUAGUGACUCUGAGUAGCAUUCUGGAUCCUCUAGCAAAGGUGGGGAAUUAGAUGCUGGUGAUGCUGAGAAGUAAUUGUGAUUCAUAUGGGUGAAACUGAUAACUUGGAGUAAAUGGCUCCCAUUAUAUUAUGUUUCAGUGUGUUCAGAUUUAAUGUACUUGUAGCUAUAUACCUGCAGCAAAACCAAUAAAAAUUUAUUGUUAAUCUA
RNA transcript from Schistocerca piceifrons (Central American locust), 584 nucleotides. RefSeq lists it as uncharacterized. The transcript has 2 exons. NCBI's taxonomy places the organism in Eukaryota, Metazoa, Arthropoda, Insecta, Orthoptera, Acrididae. The record is from RefSeq and is a predicted model, not a curated record.